RNAcentral lists this transfer RNA (69 nucleotides) under Megalechis picta (armored hoplo catfish). Its description in RNAcentral is "tRNA-His". It matches the Rfam family "tRNA". From Rfam's summary of the family: Transfer RNA (tRNA) molecules are approximately 80 nucleotides in length. Their secondary structure includes four short double-helical elements and three loops (D, anti-codon, and T loops). The record is from RNAcentral. Lineage: Eukaryota; Metazoa; Chordata; Actinopteri; Siluriformes; Callichthyidae.
UAUAGUUUAAACAAAAUAUUAGAUUGUGGUUCUAAGGAUAGGGGUUAAAACCUCUUUAUUCACCGAGAG